Molecule: long non-coding RNA, 337 nt
Filed under: Setaria viridis
Lineage: Eukaryota; Viridiplantae; Streptophyta; Magnoliopsida; Poales; Poaceae
Description: long non-coding RNA (SVIR_LNC003982)
Source: RNAcentral
UUGGUCAAAAGUGGGAGUGAGAUGCUCUAGAUUUUGAGGACAAAUGUGAUAUGCUAUGCCUCGAUUUCUCUUGACUAGCGUAGGCUGUGGAGCUGCAUAGGAUGGCAUGACACUUGGAGCUUUGGUACAAGAGGAUCUACGGGAUGUUUCAGCUACCUUUUCUUUCCCUUUCCUCCUCUGAGCAACCACAAGCCGUUCUUCUUCAGAUUCUUCCUGCUUAUACAUUUGUCACUCUCAACUCUAGGAGGAUUUGGAUCAUGCCUUGCCUUAGUUCUCCUUUGCAUUGCACUAGCACGAGUGUCCCUUUCCCUUCCCAUCUAGAUAAAGCAGAGAACAC